GGCUCUUUGUUGUAAUAUAGUAUAAAGAGUUGAACCUGCCCAAUGAAUUUUAUUUAAUGGCCGCGGUACUCUGACCGUGCAAAGGUAGCAUAAUCACUUGUUUAUUAACUGUAGACUGGAAUGAAUGGUCUGACGAGGGGUAGACUGUCUUUUAUUAGUUUUUUAGAAUUUAAUUUUUAAGUUAAAAAGCUUAAAUUUAAUUAGUAGACGAGAAGACCCUGAUGAGCUUUAACUUUAGCUUGGUAAUCUUGUUAGACGUGUUGGUUGGGGCGACUGAGGAACAAAAAGAGCUUCCUUUAUACAUACUAGGAUCCGAUAGAUAUCGAUAUAAGGGAAUAGCUACCACAGGGAUAACAGCAUAAUUUUUCUAGAGAGCUCCUAUCGAAAGAAAAGCUUGUGACCUCGAUGUUGGACUAGAGUAUCCGGGGGGUGCAGCAGCUCCCAAAGGGUGGUCUGUUCGACCAUUAAAACUCU
Molecule: ribosomal RNA, 474 nt
Filed under: Thylacodes adamsii
Lineage: Eukaryota; Metazoa; Mollusca; Gastropoda; Littorinimorpha; Vermetidae
Description: partial 16S ribosomal RNA
Rfam family: Bacterial large subunit ribosomal RNA
Source: RNAcentral